RNAcentral lists this ribosomal RNA (494 nucleotides) under uncultured bacterium. Its description in RNAcentral is "partial 16S ribosomal RNA". It matches the Rfam family "Bacterial small subunit ribosomal RNA", at positions 28 to 507 of the family's 1533-position model. The record is from RNAcentral.
GACGAACGCUGGCGGCGCGCUUAACACAUGCAAGUCGAACGGCAAGGCCUGCUUUCCCUUGUGGAUUGCGGGUACUCGCGUGGCGAACGGGUGAGUAACACGUGAGUGAUCUGCCCCCAACUUGGGUAUAAGCCUGGGAAAUUGGGUCUAAUUCCCGAUAGGACUGCAGGGUGGUGCCUGUGGUGGAAAACGAUUUUCUAGUGGUUGGGGAUGAGCUCGCGGACUAUCAGCUUGUGGGUGGGGUAAUGGCCUACGAAGGCGGCGACGGGUAGCCGGCCUGAGAGGGUGGACGGCGACAUUGGGACUGGGAGACGGCCCAGACUCGUACGGGAGGCAGCAGUGGGGAAUAUUGGACAAUGAGCGGAAGCCUGAUGCAGCGACGCCGCGUGGGAGAUGACGGCCUUCGGGUUGUAAACUCCUUUCGACCGAGAGGAAGCCACCUGGUUGGAAGGGUGGUGACGGUAGUGGUAGAAGAAGCACCGGCUAACUACGUG